GACGAGCGCUGGCGGCGUGCCUAAUACAUGCAAGUCGAGCGAAGUUUUUCUGGUGCUUGCACUAGAAAAACUUAGCGGCGAACGGGUGAGUAACACGUAAAGAACCUGCCUCAUAGACGGGGACAACUAUUGGAAACGAUAGCUAAUACCGGAUAACAACAUAAAUCGCAUGAUAUAUGUUUAAAAGUUGGUUUCGGCUAACACUAUGAGAUGGCUUUGCGGUGCAUUAGCUAGUUGGUGGGGUAAAGGCCUACCAAGGCGACGAUGCAUAGCCGACCUGAGAGGGUGAUCGGCCACACUGGGACUGAGACACGGCCCAGACUCCUACGGGAGGCAGCAGUAGGGAAUCUUCCGCAAUGGGCGAAAGCCUGACGGAGCAACGCCGCGUGAGUGAAGAAGGAUUUCGGUUCGUAAAGCUCUGUUGUUAGGGAAGAAUGAUUGUGUAGUAACUAUACACAGUAGAGACGGUACCUAACCAGAAAGCCACGGCUAACUACGUGCCAGCAGCCGCGGUAAUACGUAGGUGGCAAGCGUUGUCCGGAAUUAUUGGGCGUAAAGCGCGCGCAGGUGGUUUAAUAAGUCUGAUGUGAAAGCCCACGGCUCAACCGUGGAGGGUCAUUGGAAACUGUUAAACUUGAGUGCAGGAGAGAAAAGUGGAAUUCCUAGUGUAGCGGUGAAAUGCGUAGAGAUUAGGAGGAACACCAGUGGCGAAGGCGGCUUUUUGGCCUGUAACUGACACUGAGGCGCGAAAGCGUGGGGAGCAAACAGG
This 769-nucleotide ribosomal RNA is filed under the name uncultured bacterium. Its description in RNAcentral is "bacterial SSU rRNA". It matches the Rfam family "Bacterial small subunit ribosomal RNA", at positions 28 to 776 of the family's 1533-position model. The record is from RNAcentral.